Molecule: ribosomal RNA, 405 nt
Filed under: uncultured bacterium
Lineage: Bacteria
Description: partial 16S ribosomal RNA
Rfam family: Bacterial small subunit ribosomal RNA
Source: RNAcentral
AUUGAACGCUGGCGGCAGGCUUAACACAUGCAAGUCGAACGAGUGGCGGACGGGUGAGUAAUGCUUGGGAAUCUAGCUUAUGGAGGGGGAUAACUACGGGAAACUGUAGCUAAUACCGCGUACCAUAGGAAGAGCCCAAGUGGGAUUAGGUAUUUGGUGAGGUAAAGGCUCACCAAGCCGACGAGCUCUAGAUGGUCUGAGGGGAUGACCAGCCACACUGGGACUGAGACACGGCCCAGACUCCUACGGGAGGCAGCAGUGGGGAAUAUUGCGCAAUGGGGGCAACCUGACGCAGCCAUGCCGCGUGAAUGAAGAAGGCCUUCGGGUUGUAAAGUUCUUUCGGUCGCGAGGCGUUACCUACAGAAGAAGCACCGGCUAACUCCGUGCCAGCCGCCGCGGUAAUUC